UGAGUAAUGUCUGGGAAACUGCCUGAUGGAGGGGGAUAACUACUGGAAACGGUAGCUAAUACCGCAUAACGUCGCAAGACCAAAGAGGGGGACCUUCGGGCCUCUUGCCAUCAGAUGUGCCCAGAUGGGAUUAGCUAGUAGGUGGGGUAAUGGCUCACCUAGGCGACGAUCCCUAGCUGGUCUGAGAGGAUGACCAGCCACACUGGAACUGAGACACGGUCCAGACUCCUACGGGAGGCAGCAGUGGGGAAUAUUGCACAAUGGGCGCAAGCCUGAUGCAGCCAUGCCGCGUGUGUGAAGAAGGCCUUCGGGUUGUAAAGCACUUUCAGCGAGGAGGAAGGUGGUGAGCUUAAUACGCUCAUCAAUUGACGUUACUCGCAGAAGAAGCAUCGGCUAACUCCGUGCCAGCAGCCGCGGUAAUACGGAGGGUGCAAGCGUUAAUCGGAAUUACUGGGCGUAAAGCGCACGCAGGCGGUUUGUUAAGUCAGAUGUGAAAUCCCCGGG
This 504-nucleotide ribosomal RNA is filed under the name uncultured bacterium. Its description in RNAcentral is "bacterial SSU rRNA". It matches the Rfam family "Bacterial small subunit ribosomal RNA", at positions 107 to 607 of the family's 1533-position model. The record is from RNAcentral.